RNAcentral lists this long non-coding RNA (1490 nucleotides) under Equus asinus (donkey). RNAcentral describes it as "lncRNA (ENSEASG00005030629.1)". Lineage: Eukaryota; Metazoa; Chordata; Mammalia; Perissodactyla; Equidae. The record is from RNAcentral.
GAUUAAAAACUGCAUAUAUUUAAUGUGUAUGAUUUGAUGAAUUUCUUAGUAGCUACAUAAUAUUCUGAUAUGGUUGCACCAUUACCUAUUUUCUCAAUCCCUAUUUUAAGAUACUUGAGUUGUUUCCAGGUUUUUGCUAUUACAAACAACAUCGUGAUUAACUUCUCUGUAUAUAGAACUGUUUUUGAAUUUUGGAUUAUUUCAUUAAAACAGGUUAGAGUUAUUCAUUGAUCCUCAUUGUAACAGUUAGGAAACCAGAUGCUCCUAUGUUCCCAAGGACAGCCUUUCCCAGGGAAGUCAGGUGGAUGUUCGUGGAUAUUAUGUGAAAGAGGGGGUUACUGAGUCACUAACAUUUACAAGAAAUAUUGCAUGUCUCUCUUUUCCUUAAAUUUAAUUCUGUUACCAAGACCCCACAUUACUAUCUGGCUUGUUGGUGGGUUCCCCCCAACUCCCAAGUUUAUGCAGGUGUAUCCAAAUCUUAUGUUGCACCAAGAUGCUGGGAAGGCCCUUCCAGUCAUCAGAUUGCUUCUCAAACAGCUACUGUCCAGUCCUGGCAAUCCCAUCAAGUCUGAUAGCCUGGUUGUUUUCUUAUGACCCCAGAAUCUUGGGUAGGGCUGGGAGCUGGGUGUCAGAGAUCCAACCCCAUACACCAUGUCACUCCUAAACCCUGGGGAGCAGGACCGCAGUGCCCCCUCCUUGAGAGAGUCACAUUUCCUUCCCCAACCUUCCAGAUUCUGCCCUCCCAGCAAGCUGCUGGUCUGCAUCCCCUCCUCCUCUUGAGCAUCCAUCCUAAUGCCAAUCUCAGGAUUGAGUUUCCACAAAAGACAAGGAACAGCCUUUGCCUUCACGUUGACUUGGCUUUCCUUGCCCACUGCCUGGAGGUUUCCUUGAAAUCAUGUAUGUGUGAGUAUAUAUGGAAUGUAAAGAACAGAUCCAAAUUAAUACUGCAAAAAAUUAUUCUGCUGCACAGGUUACCUAGCCACUGGGUAGGAAGUAAAACAUGUGGCAUCCAUGCCAACAUUGACCUGGAGUGUCUUCAGGAGAGGGGAGAUGGUGGGACACACUCAACUAUGGACUGCUGGAGAAUAAACUUGUUUUUGAAAUUUCCUAAAUGGAUCAAGAAGGGAUUCUGUCCAAGGAAGAGGGUGCCAAGCAGUAGGAGGAGUUUCCUGUGCUUGUAGUGCCUGAUCUUCUCCACACAUCUGUGAGGUCCUGUGCCUCAAAAGACAGAUGAAUCUUGUGAGACGGACUCCUGUUCUCAAGGAAGGAAAAUGCCUGAACACAGAUCACAAGCCAACCAGAGUGAGAGACAUCUGAACCAGUCUACAUAAAACAGCUUGGGGAUGGAGACUGAUUUCUGGAUUCUUGUUAGAAAACAGGCUGUCUUCCUGCCUAUGUCCUGAGGAGAAAAGGGAAAUUAAUGUAACUGAAGAGGCUGGGGUCACCUUGGUUUUACACUCUCAAUUAAAGUCUGCUUGCUGUCAAACACA